Molecule: ribosomal RNA, 481 nt
Filed under: uncultured bacterium
Lineage: Bacteria
Description: partial 16S ribosomal RNA
Rfam family: Bacterial small subunit ribosomal RNA
Source: RNAcentral
GGUGAACGCUGGCGGCGUGCUUAACACAUGCAAGUCGAACGAAGCACUUUAUUUGAUUUCCUUCGGGACUGAUUAUUUUGUGACUGAGUGGCGGACGGGUGAGUAACGCGUGGGUAACCUGCCUUGUACAGGGGGAUAACAGUUGGAAACGGCUGCUAAUACCGCAUAAGCGCACAGCAUCGCAUGAUGCAGUGUGAAAAACUCCGGUGGUAUAAGAUGGACCCGCGUUGGAUUAGCUAGUUGGUGAGGUAACGGCCCACCAAGGCGACGAUCCAUAGCCGACCUGAGAGUGUGACCGGCCACAUUGGGACUGAGACACGGCCCAAACUCCUACGGGAGGCAGCAGUGGGGAAUAUUGCACAAUGGGCGAAGGCCUGAUGCAGCGACGCCGCGUGAGCGAAGAAGUAUUUCGGUAUGUAAAGCUCUAUCAGCAGGGAAGAUAAUGACGGUACCUGACUAAGAAGCACCGGCUAAAUACGUG